GUAUGGGGCGGAAAGGGAACCUGAUUGAUACCGGUCAUCCGGUGGUUAGUGGAGACGCCUUCUGGCAGUGUAGCCGCCCCUGUCUGCUCCGACGCGAGCGCCCCUGGUAGUACCUAGGCAGCACCCGUUUCGGAGGCAGGCACGCGCCGUUUGAGAGCCCGCGGUCUGGCGCGGUAGUGACCUGCGACCAGCCCAGCGGAGCCUCCAACGGUGGGCGACCACACUUACCGUCUUGCACUUUGGGAGGGGGAAAGGGUUAAAUUUACACUGUUACACACGAGCACAUUGUUUAGUUUUGUUUCUUUAUUCUGGUAUUUCAUAUUUUUUUCCUUGUCUUUUCCCUGUCUUACCGCCGUAUGUACUUAAAUUUCCUAUGUCCCUACCUACGUCGCACCAAACUAAGUCGUAAUAGAAAAAGGGUGAGGCCCACAGCCUCGCUUACCCGAUCCUCUCGAGCCUAUCGGUCCUUUUGUCUCCUCGCCUGGCGCUCGGUGUCUUGAGCCUCUCGUGGGCACGUGGUCUUGAGCCUCUCUUGGGCACGUGGUCGUGAGCCUCUCGUGGGCAACGUUGGGGUUAUGGCGCACUUUUUACCCGUUUCACUUUUGUCGCCGCAGCGAUCUCGACUGGUCCUCCCGGUGUUCGAAACAUUUCUCCCCGAGGCGAGCUCUGCGUGGCGAUCGCCAGCCCUUAGCUGCGGUCCCUUGUCCGGGCUGCGCUGCCCACGCCCGUGGCUCUCGGGCUGCUGCCGGCGCCCUUGCUCUCUCGUUCUGCUGCUCUGCUGCUGGCCGCUCUCGGGCUGCUGUCUCACUUCGUCGUUCUCUUUGGCUCUGCUGCUGUUGGUUCGCGUCGCCGUUCUCUUUGCUCUGCUGUUGGCUACUGUGGGCCGCGAACUUAAAUUAUGACUUCAAAAUUUCACCUUAUAAUAUAACUUAGAAACUAAUAAUGGAAAAUUAUAAACUUAAUAAUAAAGACUUC
This 975-nucleotide long non-coding RNA is filed under the name Drosophila guanche. Lineage: Eukaryota; Metazoa; Arthropoda; Insecta; Diptera; Drosophilidae. The record is from RNAcentral.